This 611-nucleotide ribosomal RNA is filed under the name Schizopora paradoxa. RNAcentral describes it as "partial small subunit ribosomal RNA". It matches the Rfam family "Bacterial small subunit ribosomal RNA", at positions 350 to 959 of the family's 1533-position model. The record is from RNAcentral. Lineage: Eukaryota; Fungi; Basidiomycota; Agaricomycetes; Hymenochaetales; Schizoporaceae.
AGCAGUCAAGAAUAUUAGUCAAUGCUCGCAAGAGUGAACUAGCUAACUGAAAUCAAGGGUGUGUCACCUUUGAUAAGGUAAGGGAAAAUAAAUGAUACUACCUUACUAUUAGUGUCGUCCAAGUACUCGUGCCAGAAGACUCGGUAAGGCGAGAGACGCAAACGUUAGUCGUCUUGAUCAGGCGUAAAGGGUUUGUAGGCGGCUUUAAGAAUGGAUUUCUUCUAAAUAACACUUUUAAAAAAGAACAAAGAAGAAAAAAAUCAAUUAAAGCUAGAAUCAAAAAGAGGUCAAAUUAAAUAAUACUUGGUGUAAGAUUGGUAUCUUUAAAAACCAAGCGGAAUACUAACGGCGAAGGCUUUUUUCCAAUAAUGAUUGACGCUGAGAAACUAAGGUGAGGACAGAAAAAAGGAUUAGAGACCCUCGUAUUCCUCACUGUCAACGAUGAAUGGUAGUUACUAGAAAGAAAUAUAAAAUAAAUAUUUAAAUAAUUCUAGAGACGAUGUUAACACGUAAACCAUUCCGCCUUGUGAGUACGACUGCAAAGUUGAAAACAAAAAAAUUAGUCGGUUUCGGAGCAAACGAAGUGAAGCAUGUUAUUUAAUUCGAUAAUC